UUUUCCUUCCCUUCUUUAUUUGUGUAAUUGUAAUGACCAUUUAGUGUACAAUUGGUGAAAUCGAACAUUAAUCUUAUUUAUACCAAAUAAUAGUGAUUUCAUCCAUGGGGCAGAAUGUGGAUUCACUGUUUUCUUACUUUUUAAAUCCACUAUUACCGGAUAAUGGGAGUAUGAAAAGUUGGAAAAGAAACUGAAAAACAGUUGUUAGACUGAGAAUAUUCUUAUGUCCCAACUUCUUUAAAGAGGAUAAGAUACUCUGUUAUCACAGAGUUAUUUAUGAACUUGAAUUUUAGAACAAAUGGUUCGAGACUCUUAUUUUGAUUUCUUGAGCUGGGAGAACUAUGAAUUGGGUUCUGAUCAGUGGUGGAUCCAGGAUUUAGAUUCCGUGGGUGCCAAAUAGACUUAUCGAUUAAACUAAUUUUAUAUUUGAUUAAAUUAUUCGUCUUUUCGAUUUAAAUUAAUUUUAGUUCUCUAAUUUUUCUUAAAAGAACGUGUGCAACAAUUUCCUUUUUCUUAAAACAAUGUCUUUCUCAAAAAAAUAGGUACAAAUGGGAUUCGAACCCGCAACAUCAGCCUUCUAAAGUUGCCCUCCUACCGUGGCACCACAAGCCAAUUUUGUUCUGUGGGUGGCACGCUUUAUAUAAAUAUAAAUAUUAUAUAUAUAUACCUAUGUAUAUAUAGAGUUUCCGUCGAAGUUCGGGGGUGGCGUGGCACCCCCACAUGCCUUAAUAGAUCCGCCUCUGGUUCUGAUACAAGGCAGCCCGGUGUAUGAAGCAUACCACAUUUUCCUUAGUGUUAGGUAGUGGCGGAGUAGAAAUUUGUACAAUUCCGAGGUCCUUUUUGUCUCUGUUCUCCACCAACUUUAUAGGUCCGAUCAUCUAAAAAGACUAGC
Molecule: long non-coding RNA, 892 nt
Filed under: Solanum tuberosum (potato)
Lineage: Eukaryota; Viridiplantae; Streptophyta; Magnoliopsida; Solanales; Solanaceae
Description: long non-coding RNA (STUB_LNC002406)
Source: RNAcentral